GAAGUUGUGCGCGCGCGGGACAGGAAGUUCCUCCCUUCUCCAGAGCGCCGUCGACCCCACGCCACGCAGAGGUGAAGAUACGCAGGACGUCCUCUAAAGCAACUUCCGUGGGUGCCAGGUUGUGGGCUGGGGGCGGUGCUGACCUUGAGAGAGCGGAGGAGGCGCAGGCGCAGCACAGGUACGUGGGCGGGCGGAUCGUGGUGGCUGCGCUUGCGAGGACCCUGAGGUAGAUUGGGUGGUUUCAACAGGAACGCAUCCACUGUCUGAGAGUUUAAACUUGAUUUUGUGAGGGGACGAACAGCGUGACAAUUAAAAGAAGAUCUGGGAAUCGUAAGUACUGACAGAAUACCUGGAGGGAAGGUGGGACUGGAGAAUAGUUUGUGAAACAGAUCCUGCUGAGGAUGAAUCCAGAACUUCCUGAAGGGUUCCGCUUCUGCUGUGUAGGGACAAGGUUGUAAAUAGACAAGCCACAGGCACCUGCAAAUGGUAAGUGUGGUAGAGAGGGGCUGGAAUUGCCUGUUGGUGUAUCUGUGGGAAGCAGCUGCUAUCCUUGAGGAAGAAAAGAUGGAGAAGGUAAGUGGCUAUCAACCUGUCAGAGACAACACAUUCUGUGAAGUUGUACUCUUUCAUUUCUGACACUGUGGUUCUUAAUAUCUGUCCUAAACCUGGCAGUCAUUGAGGUUCGCAAAGUAUCUCCUUCUAUGUGACAGUAAAACUGGAAUUACUAUCAGAAUGGAAUCCAUUCCUGCUAGAGUAAAACCAUGAAAAGAAAUCGCAGUUUUGAUUAUCUGCUUAUCAUUUUUAAUAGAUCACAGAGUGCAGUGUUCCUUAUUUGUUGUAUGGCAAGUUGAUGAAUAACUCUUGAUUAAUAUCUUUUAAUGUUCUGUUUCACACAGUUCUCUCAAUUACAUGUGAAAAAUCUGUUAUAUAAGUAAUGCUAUUUAAUGAUUAAAAUGGAUAUAUGUUUUAAGGUAGUGCCACCCAGUCUUUUUUUUUUGGUAGAAUAAUAUUAUUAUCUAUUGGUUGCCUGCCUUGAAGUACAGUAAUUUCUCUGUUUCCAUUAUUUAAAAUAGGUGAGUGUCUUUGACAAAGAUACAAAGAAAGGGGACAGUUAUGAAAGGGAAGAAAAGAUAGAUGGAGAUGAAAAGAAAUUCAGUAGUUUCAGCAAGGGAAUUAGGAGCAUAAUCUUUGAGAAAAGUCUUGGUUGCUUACCAUUCGGGCUUUGUGAUGAGUUGAAAUGUCCUGAAUGAGAACUGUUCUCAAAUGCUUUCAAGACCAACAAAAAGUACGAUACCCACACUGACCUGGAACUCUUUAAACCAUUAAGAUAUAUCACUUUUUCGCAGUUCAGUCCAUAUUUUUUGCAAAAUGUUCUGCUUAGUUUUUCUGCUAAGAAAUUACUGUUUCUGAACAAGGUUAAGUGUCGUAUGCUUUCAUUGUAGUUUUUUUUCCCCUAACAUAUACUGUUUUCCUAAUUAGACUAUAAAUUCCUCCACAGCUGGGACCUUGUUUUGUUUUCUCGCCUUCCCCAUAACAAAUAUCAUUUAAGUGAAUGUUGUAAACAGUUACUUCAUUUAAAUUGCCCUUAAAAUGCUUUAUGACAAAGACGUUAUUUGUAGUAAUACCUAUAAUGGUAAAAAGUUUGUUGCAGUCUUACAGACGAUAAGAUUGAUCAAUUGUUAUAUAUGCUUAGUGGAAUUUUAUCUAGCUGUUCUAAAGAGCCAUUAGACUAGUCUUUCUAAUGGAAAAUGUUUAUUGUCUAAGUUAAAACAGCAUUUGAGGCCAGGCACAGUGGCUCACUCCUGUUAUUGCAGCACUAUGGGAGGCUGAGGUGGGAGGAUCACUAGAGCACAAGAGUUGGAGACUAGCCUAGGCAAUAUAGUGAGACCUCUUCUCUACAAAAAAUUUAAAAAUUAGCUGAGUGUGAUGGGGUGUGCCCGUAGUUCCAGCUACUCAGGAGACUGAGGUGGGAGGAUCACUUGGGUCCAAGAGGUAGAUGUUGCAGUAAACCAAGAUCAUGCCACUGCACUGCAGCCUGGGCAACAGAGCAAGAUCCUGUCUCAAAAAAUUAAAAAGCAUUUUAUAGACUGCAUGUUUGUGUCCCCCCUCCCUCCGCACCAGAAUUCAUAUAUUGAAGCCUUAAUCUCCAAUGACAUGAUAUUAGUAGGUGGGGCCUUUGGGGGGUGAUUAAAUAAUAAGGGUGAAGCCCUGCAUGGGAUUAGUGCCUUUACAACAAGAGACCCUAGACAGCUUGCUUCCACUCUUUCUUUGCUCUUCACCAUGUGAGGACACAGCAAGAAAACAGACAACUACAAAUCAGGAAGAGGGCCUAAUUUGUGCCAACCAUGCUGGCACUCUUCUCUAACUUCCCAGCCUCCAGAACUGUGAGAAAUAAAUUUCUGUUGUUUAAGUCACCCAGUUUAUGGUAGUUUGGUUAUAGUUGCCCAUAUUAAGACAGCAGGAUGCAAAAUUGUGGCCAGUAUGAUUGCUUUGACAUGAAACAAAUUUUAAGCACAAAUUGCAAAAAGUAACCAAAAUAUAUCAAUCCCCACUGCUGGCAUUAACACUCUAAAACAAACUUUGUAUAUUGGGGGAUUUUAUUUAUUUAUUUAUUUAUUUUUUUUGCUGACCAUAGUGACUCAUGCCUAUAAUCCCAGCACUUUGGGAGGCCGAGUUGGGCAGAUCACUUGAGGCCAGGAAUUCAAGACCAGCCUGGCCAACAUGGCAAAACCCCCUCUUUACAAAAAUAUAAAAAUUAACCAGGCAUGGUGGCACACCCCUGUAGCCCCACCUACUUGGGAGGCUGAGGUGGGAGGAUCGCUUGGGCCUGUGAAGCAGAGGUUGCGGAGAGCUGUGAUGGCACCACUGCACUCCAGCCUGUGUGACAGAGCGAGACUAUCUCAAGAAAAAAAAAAAAGGAUGAGGAUUUUUUUUGUUUUCAACAUGCUUUUUAACAUCCACUAUAUUACUCUCAUCUUUCUAGGCUGGAAAAAAAAAUGUUUUAAAUGUUAUUCUGAAGUAUAUUGCAACCUUUAACAAUUCAGUAGACUUCUGAAUUUUUAUUUUCAUGUAGCUUACCACAGUUGUAUCUAGGAAUAUAUCACAUAGCUGAUUAAUUGGUGAAAUAACCCUUGCAAUUUUACACAGGUUGUACAGUGCACAUUUUCAAGGACCACUCACAUACAUCCAUUUGAUAUUUUUUGGUAUCAAGAAAGUCUUUAAACAAUCAGUACCACCAAUAGCAGUAAAAAGACAAAACUGUCUGAAAGUACCUAUCUGUUUAAAACUUUAAUUAGCUUUAUCCAUCCAUUAAAUAGUUAUUGAAUAUAAAACUGUAUCAUUCACUCUUCUACACUCUGAGGAAAUAGUGGUAAAUAAAGCAGAUAUUGUCCCUACUAUCAGGAAAUUUACAUUUUAGUAGUAAUAAGCCAUAAAUUAACAAAAACAGAAGACAGUGGUAAGUACUAGGCAUGAAAUUCAAACAUGACUAUUUUAGAUUAGGUGAUUAAAGAAACUAAAAUACCAUUUAAGCUGCUGUGUAAAUGACAAGAGAAUCCAGCUUUGUAAAAAUUGGUGAACCCUUUGCUUGCAGAAGGGACAACUGCAAAAUCUAAGGCAUGAUCUAGCCUGGAAUAUUUCAGGAGCCAAAAGAAGGCCUGCAUGGUUAGAGAAUAGUGACUUAAGACGCAAAUACUGUAACUUUGGAGGGAUAGGAAAGGGCUAGAUCAUGUUACCUUUGAAAGACAGGAAAGAGUUUAGAUUUUAUUCUAUGUGCAAUGGAAAAAAAAAUGAGAGCAUUUUAAUCCAAAGAGUAAUAUAAGAUAAUAUAUUUUUAAAAUCCACUUUGGUAAUUUGUUAAUUGGCAUAAAGAGUCAGCUUUCAUGUAACAUAAUUACUAACAUACUUGGAUUUAAAUUUGUCAUUAUUCUUAUUUUAUUUGUCCCACCUCUUAUAUGUUCAUUUUGUCUUCUUUUGCCUUUUUGAUUUUUUUUUUUCUUAAUUAGGCCAUAGCACCUGAUAUUCCCAGGCAGACUCUCAUCCAAGUGCCAAUCAGCCCCAGCCCUGCUUAGCUUCCCAGAUCAGAUGAGAACAGGCAUAUUCAGGGUGGUAUGGCUAUAGACCUUUUAGAUUAUUUUUAAUUAUUCCAUUUUUUCUACCUCAUAAGCUUGACAGAUGUCUUUUAGUAUCUUUUUACUGUUCACCUCAGGUAUUAAAACAUGGAACCUUGGUUUAUCAUCUUUAAGAUAAUUUGGUAUUAUACUUCUUCCAGGACAAUGUAAGGACCUGCGAACACAUCAACUUCAUUUACUGCCACACCUCAUGUUAUAUACAUUGUAUAUUCUUAAUAUGUAUUUCCUAAAUUCUCAAGACAUUUUUUAUACAAUAUGAAUUUACAUUUCAUAUUGUAUAAAACAUUUACUUUUUCUAUUGUGUUUCGUGGUUCCUGGAAUCUGAGCUUCCAUCUAAGACCUUAUUUCUUCUUGAAGGACAUACUUUAAUAUUUCUUCGAAUAUCUACUGGUAACAAUUCAUUCAGAUUUUCUGUCCUGACACUGUCUUAUUUUACUUUCAUUUUCUAAGAACGUUUUUGCUGAAUUAGCAGCUAUUUUAUCAUUUUGAAGAUAUAUUUUAUUCCUUCUGGCUUCCAUUAUGUCCUCUAAGACAUAAUGUCCAUUUUGUUUUUUUCUCUUCAAAGGUAAUCUUUUUUUGGAUGGCUACUUUUAAGAGGUUUGUCUUAAGUUUGGUGUGCCCACAUGUGUUUUGUGUUUGUUUUUUUGUGUGUGUGGUUUUUUUCUGCUUCGAGAUUGAUAAUGUUUCUUGAAUCUGGCUGUGAUGUCCUUAGGCUGUUUGAGAAAAUUCUUAGCUCUGUUUGAUCAGACAUUGCUUCUGCUUUCACUCUCCUUUCUCCUCUUCUUUUGAUACUCCACUUACAUUUGUAUUUGACAAUUCACUUUGUCCCUUGUAUUUUCCAUUUAUUUUCUUGUCUGUUUCAUCCUGAAUAUUUCUUCUUAACUUUCAGUUCACUAUUUUCUCUUAGUAGUCUCGAAUUUGUUAAAUCUCUCUUGAAGCAUUUAUUUUAGUUAUAUUUUUGGUUAUCAGUUCAAACAUUUCUACUUGAUUCUGUUUUAUUGUUUCCAGUUGUUUAUCCAAUAUCUCAAUCUUUUAUUUCCUCAAACAUACUAAUCAUAAUUACUUUAAAACCUGUAUCUAAUAACUAUGGUGUCUGCUAUUAUCUGACACUUUUCUUGUUUCUUGCUGUUAUCACAUUGUCUUGCUUUUAUGUCCCUUAUUUUUAUGUUAUUUUGUAUUAUUUAUUUUAUAAACAUUAUAAAUAUAUAAAACUUGGCUUAGGUUAUGUUUUAAUUGAAUGUCAGAAUUGUUUUGAUUGAACUGUAUAUGAGGAAACUAUACUUUGAAGUCCAAUAUGAUGGUAUUUUCUAAAGAAAGAAUUUAUGUCUCCUGGCAAGACCUUUGGACACUAGUAAUCUAAGAUCUUCUUAAUCUGGUUAGUGAUAGAGACAAUUAGAAUAUAGGCAGGUCUAUUUCCUGUUCAUACUUUCACAAUGUAGACCUCUGAAGUCCCAACUCAAGCAUGCAGAGUUUACCAGAUCAGGCCCUAAACUUCAGUUUUUGUCUUUUUAAUUCUAUGGGUUAGAAACUCUGUUCAACUUUUCAGCCAUCACCUCAGGAAUCAGAAGAUACUCCAGAGGAAAAGCUAAUGUAAAUGCUGGAUUCAACAACUCUGUUUUUUCCUUCUGAAUAUUUCAUUGUCUCUAAUGCUGUCAGAUGUUUGUUUUAUAUUUUGUCCAAGCUGAGUGUGGUGGCUCACGUCUGUAAUUUCAGCACCUUGGGAGGCCAAGGCGGGACCAUCCCUUGAGGCCAGGAAUUUGAGACUAGCCUAGGCAACAUAACAAGACCUUUGUCUCUUGGAAAAAAAUAAAUAAAUAAAUAUUAUUAGAAGUGAAAAUGGGGAUGUUGUUACAAAUGCUGUGGAGAUUGAUGAGAAAUUAUGAACAACUUAAUAAUAAAUGGGAAAAUAUAAAUGAAGUAGGCAGUUCCAGAAAAUGUAACUUUUCAAAAGCCAUGUAAUGGAAAAUAUAAAUGGUGGGAUGUUGAUGUAAGAAAUCAUGAUGCCCAGAGACUUUUGCCAAACCUUCAAAGGACAGAUCAUUACAAUUUUACACAAACCAUUCCACAGUAUAUUCCACUUAUAUACUGUGGAAUUGGCCCUUACUGCCCUUAUCAAAUUUAACAUCAAGGUUACAGAAGCUUAAUAUUACUGCCCUGAUUUUAUUAGGGCAGUAAUGAUUUGAUAAGGGCAGUAAGAAUUACAGCCCUGUCAUAUUCGCAAAGACAAAAAUCCUAAAUAAAACAGACCUUAGAAAAUGUGUUUUUAAGAAAAGAUAAUAAAACAUGAUCAGGUUGAAUUUAACCCAGGAAUGUAUUUUAGUAUAUUAAGAGAUUAGAAAAACUAUCUGGCUAUCUGAACAGAUGCAGGAAAAGAAAACUAUUUGAAAAAAUUAACAGACAUAGAUAAACCUUUGGGCAAAUUAGAAUUGUGUAGAACUUCCUUGAGCCAAUAAAACCUACAACAACAAUAUUUUAAGAUGAAGUAUUUGAAGCAGUCCAUUAGAAUCAGGAACAAGUACUAUGUUGGAGAUCCUAGCCAGCAUUAUAAGGCAAGAAAAACAAAAGAUUAAAAAUUGUAAAUAAACAUAACUUAGUCUACAGAUAAAUUAUUGAAGAGCUUUGCAAGGAUUCUGAAUAUACUAUUGAUAUGGUUUGGAUCUGUGUCCCUACCCAAAUCUCAUGUUGAAUUGUAAUCCCCAAUGUUGGAGGUGAGGCCUGGUGGGAGAUUGGAUCACGGGAAUGGGUUUCUCAUUCGUGGUUUAGUACCAUCCUCUUGGUACUGUCCUUGAAAUAGUUCUUAGGAGAUCUGGUAAUUUAGAAUUGUGUGGUACCUCUCCCCUCUCUCUUGCUCUUGCUCCCCCUUUGCCUUCCACCAUGAUUGGAAGCUUCCUGAAGCUGCCUCAGAAGCAGAAGCCACUAUGCUUCCUGUACAGCUUGCAGAACCAUGAGCCAAUUAAACCCCUUUUCUUUAUAAAUUACUCAGUCUCCAGUAUUUAUAGCAAUGUGAAAACAGAUAAUAUGACUAUCAAUAUACAAAAGUGAAUUGCAUUUCUUUCCAGCAGAAAUGAACUGUUAGAAAAUGAUUUUUGUAACAUACCAUUUACUAUAUUCCUUUAAAAAUAUAAAUUAGGUAACUUAACAAAAGGUAUAGAAGACCUCUGUAGAAAAUUACAAAACUUUAUUGACAGGCAUUUAAAAAUGUCUAAUUUUAAAAUUGCCAUGUUCAAUGAUUAAAAGACUCGAGUUAAGAUGGCAGUUCUCCACUACACAAUGAAGGUAAUUGCAAUACAAAUCCCAAAUGAGUUUUUCAAGGAGCUUGACAAACUGAUUCUAAAGUCUGUAUGACAAAAAGCAGAAUUCAGGAUACUCCAGAAGCAGAUUUAAGAUAGAAUUGACUUGUAGAUAUUCGUAACAGCAAAAAAAUAAAAACAACUCAAAUAUCCAUCAAAAGAUAAAAUGUUUAUCCAUGAAAAGAUACUCAAAAAGUGACACCUUUAUAUAAUGGGAUAUAUUUGGCUGCAAAAAGGAAUGAACUGCUAAUACCUGCUAUAAUGUGGAUAAACCUUGAAAGCCUGCUGAAAUAAAGAAGCCAGUCACAAAGGACCACUUAUGAUUCCAUUUAAACAAAGUGUAUAAAGUAGAAAAUGUAUUGAGACAAUAGAUUGUGGUUGUUUAGGGCUUACAAAGUUUGGGGUGAUGGGGGCCCGAGGUAGUGACAGCUAAAGGGUGCAGUUUCUUUUUGAGGCAAUAAAGUUCUAAAAUGUAUAGUUGCACGUUUCUGUAGAUACACUAAAAUCAAUUCAGUUGUGCAUUUAAAUGAGUAAAUUGGUAUGUGAAUUGUACCUCAAUAAAUCUGUUAAAACCAUAGUAAUUAGGAUAUUGUAAUACUGGCUUAGAGAUGGAAAAAUUGAUUUAUAAGGAAUCCUGAUUGUAAGGAAUCUUGACUUAUGUCAGAGAUGGCAUUGCAUACCAGCAGGGAAAGCUAGAUCAUUUCAAUAGAUGACGCUGCAUAUUCAUAUGGGGGAAAAAUGAAAUUGGUCCUCCCUACCUAACACCAUACAGAAAAAGUAGUUUCAGAUGACUUUAAGAUGUAAGUGUGAAAGGAAAACAUAGUAAACCUUCAAAAGAAAGAUUGCAAAAUAUUUUUAUGAUCUUAUGGUAGGGAAAUGUAAUAUGUAUAAAGGAAAACAUGUAUGUCCAAUAUGUUAAAGUUAAAAACCUCUGUUCAAGACUCCAUAAACCCUCAGAAUAGCGGUUAAUUUCAGUCAUGCCCAGGAAACAUACAAGAUGAGCCUGGAAUACCUUGUGCAAGAUAGCAAGGAAGCUAUUAGAGACUACGAGGGUGUCAUAUCAAAUGGACUCAGGAGACAACUGAAAAGCAUCCUUCUGGCCAUAGAUGAGACCAUUUGAGUGUCAAUAAGGACAGUAAAUGCAAUUGAUUGGAACAUAUCAAGUGUCUUUAAAUCUGAGUACAUAAUGAUUGUAAAACAAACAGCAUUUAGUUGGUCAACAGUAGAAGAUGCUGUUGCAUCAAUUCAUUAUUUUGAAAAUCAGUUUUGUUUUGUUUUUAAAGUAAUUAGGCAUUUGUCCUGCCUUUUGUAUGUGAACUGUAAGUAACCACAUAGUAGAUGAGGAGAGGGUUCUCUUUGUACAUGUAUUCUAGCUAAUAAAUGGAGGAAUGAUAGAAAAUUGCCAUUUUGAAAUUCCUAAUGAACAAAUGGAUUUAUUUAUUGCAUUUCAACAGCUGCUAACAUGACAGACAAGAAAACAUAUGUUUCUUAAUGGAAAAACACCACUACUGAUGUUAAAAUCUUAUCAAAAAUUUGACCCUGAUACUAAUCAGGUCUUUAGAUCCAUCCAAUUUGCAGAAAAUAUAAACACCAUUAAAACUUUAAGCCAAUGAAACCUACCACAACGUAAUAUUUUGGAAUGGAAAAUAUAAAUGAAAAAUCCAAUUUUGGAGAAUAUUGGGACAAAUUAAUUUCAACAAAUAUGUUGCAGGAGAAAAGGAGACGAGAAGGACAAGUGGAGAAAACCGUAGAUUACAAGAGACUUAGUUCAAUAUGAAGCAACCUGUGAACUUGGAUUAGUUAUCUUACUGUAUAACAAAUCACCCUAGCUUAAAUCUAAAAAUAUUUAUACACUUUCUUAGGAUCCACAGGUGGUUUAGCUAGAUGUUCUGGCCCAAGGUCUCAUGAAUUUGCAGUCAAGAUGUUGGCUGGGCUGUAGUCUGAAAGUUUGACUGGUGUUAGAGGAUCCACUUCCUAGAGGGCUCAUUCGUAGAGCUGCCUGUGUUUUCUCACAACAUGGCAACUGGCUUUCUCUAGAACAGGUGAUCCAAGAGAGAGACAGAAACCAUGAUCAUUCAGAGUGAUGUAACAUUACUUCUACUAUAUAAUGUUAGUCACACAGACAUUUCCCUGACAAUAUGUGGGAGGAGAUUACACAAGAGCAUGAAUACUGGGAAGCUAGCUGUCACAAUUUGGCCCCAAUGAUUGAUAGUUCUUGAUUUGCAAAAUAUAUUCAUCCCCUCCAAAAGCUCUCCAAAGCUCUCAUCCUAUGACACCAUUAGUUCAAGGUCUAGAAAUCUAAAUCAGUUCCAAUUGUGGAUGACACUCAUAGGUGUACUUAAGUACAGCUCCUCAAGAAGAGUUCUUUUUGAUCUGAAGACUCAUACACUAAAGACACAGUCUCUGCUUCCACAUGUAAUAGAAAAUGAAUAGGAUAAUAAAUGUGGACAUGUAUAUUUAAAAAGAGGGAAUAUUGGAGGUACAUAGGUUCACAGAAAUUCUGAAACCCACCUGGGCACAGAUUGGCAGUUGCUUGGUCAAGUUUCAAGGCCUAGAAUUCUCUUAGCUCUGCCUUCUGGGAUCUUGGAUCUACUCACUGAGUCACCCUUUCUUUUUCUUGUUUACACUUCUGCCUGCUUUCUGCCUAUAGAAGCUUGGAUGUCCCACAAGCUUCUUUCCAUUUGGUUCUCUCUGUGCCUUUCAGUCCAGGCUGGCCAUGUUUCUGCUAAUAGACUUCUCUUAAAAACUUUGUGGCUCACUUGUGAAUUUUGAGUUCACUCCAUCAGACAAAAGCAACAACCACACAUCUCGUCCCACAUAAACUCUGCCUCAAGCUUUUGCUGAUGAAAAUACCCUUAAACUUUUUAAAAACCUGUGAUGUUAUUCAGAGAUUUUCUGAGACACAUCGUUUGUCUGAUGAAAAUACUCUGAGGCACAACUUAAGAUCUUUCUGAGCUAUUAAAGGACUUUAUAACUACAGCCUCAACUUUAUGUUUUACUGGCAGUGCCCUAGAUUUGCUUUUUGCUCAGAGAUAUUCCCCAAUUUUAGCACAUUUGUCAUCUGCACAGGCUGGGAAUCUUCAAAUCCAGCAAGUUUUGACUUGUUUUUGUUUGUUUGUUUGUAAUAGAGUCUGUUUUUUGCUGUGUUGGCCAGGUGAUCUUGGACUCCUGGCUUCAAGCAUUCCUCCCACCUCAGCCUCCCAAAGUUCUGGGAUUUUAGGUAUAAGCCACCAUGCCCAGCCAUGGCUCCUUUUUGUUUAACAGUCCUUACUUUGAUGGUCUCUCUUCUCACACAUUUUACUAUCAGCAACAAGAAAAAAUACACAUGAAAUAUUUAACACUUGGCCGGCAAUCUCCUUUGCUAGAUCAAUGAGUUAAUUAGGCAUUUUUUCUACUUUGUACAUAUCUGUGGAUAACAAAUUUGCUAAACUUUCUGCCAUUAUGUAACAAGGAUCUCCUUCCCUCUAGUUUCCAAGAAGAGUUUUCUAAUCUGUUAAGAUGUCACCUGCAGCCUCCUCAAAGGUUAUCUAUUAUGCUUCUAUAAAAAAUUUCUUCAAAGCUCUUCAAACUUUCAUUAACACUCUCCUCCAAGUUCUACCUUCUGUUCACUGCCAGUUUUAAAACCACACUUACAUUUUAGGUUUUUGCUAACACCCCACUUCUGAGUACCAAAAUGUAUACUGAUUUUCUAUUGCUGCAUAAUAAACUGCCCCAAAAUACAACAUGCAAAGCAAUAAAUAUUCAUUAUCUCAUGUAGUGUCUGAAGGUCAAAAAUCCGGAAGCAGCAUAGCUGAGUGGUUCUGAUUCAUUGUCUCUUGUGAAGUUAUCAGUCAAACCAUCAGCUGAGACUGUAAUCAUCUGAUGUUUUAACUAGUACCAGAGGAUACACUUUCACAUGCUAUUGGCAGGACACUUUAGUUCUUCACUAGCUGUUUAGCAGAAUACCGCACUUCCUCACCACAUGUACCUCUUCAUAGAGCUUCCUGGCUUCCUCUAAAACAAGUAAUCCAAGAGAGAAGCAGAAGCCACCAUGGUUUUUUAUGCCGUUGUUGACCUAGCCCCCAAAGUGACAUAUUAUUACACAGAUAUGUAGCCAACCUGUGGGUCACUGAUACGGUUUGGAUGUGUGUCCCCUCCAAAUCUCAUGUUGAAAUGUGAUUCUCAGUGUUGGAAGUGGGGCUGGUGAUAGGUGUUUGGUUCAUGAGGGUAGAUCCCUUAUGAAUGGCUUGGUGCUGUCUUUGUGGCAAUAAGUGAGUUCUCACUAUCUGAGUUCACACAAGAGCUGGUUGUUUAAAAGAGCCUGUCAUCUCUUUUGCUCCCUUUCUCACCAUGUGAUAUGCUGCUCCCCUUCUCUUCUGCCAUGAAGAAAAGCUUCCUGAGGCCUUCACCAGAAGCAGAUGCUGGUGCCGUGCUUCUACAGCCUGCAGAACUGUGAGCCAAAUAAAGUUCUUUCCUUUAUAAAUUACCCAGCGUCAGGUAUUGUUUUAUAGCAAUGCAGAACAGACUAACACAGACACACACACCAACCAAGUACAGUAUGAGAAGGGAUUAUUGGGUGCCAUUUUGGAGGUUGUCUACCACAGGAUUUUAUCUGUAUCAUUAUUCAAAUUUCGUUUUUGAAAAAUUUUGUAAGGGCACAUUUAUAGAAAUAUGAAUGCUUAAUAUUUGAUGAUAUUAGGGAAUUAAACCAUUUUUGUGUGAUAGUAAUUUUUAAAGAUUCCUUAUCUUUUAGAAAUACAUAUUGAAAUAUUUAGAGAUGUAGUGAUAUAAUGUCUGGGGUAUGCUUCAAGAUAAGAGUUGCAGAAAGUGGGUGGUAGUAUAAAUCAAGAUUGGUUAUGAGUUGAGAAUUUUUGAGUAAUAGGUAUAUGGGGACUAAGUAUUCUAUUCUUCAUACUUUUACAUGCCGUAAAUCCCCACUUAUCUGCAGGGAAUGUGUUCCAAGACCCCCAGUGGAUGCCUGAAACUGAGAAUAGUACUGGACCCUGUAUAUACUGUGUUUUUUCUUUCCUUAUUGAGAACUUUUAUGUUUUCACUUAAAGGAAGGACUUUACAGCUUCUCUUUCGCAUAUCCAAAUUGCCAGCAUCACCGCUCUUGCACUCCAAGCCAUUAUUAAGUAAAGUAAAGAACACAAACACUGUGAUACUGCUACACUUGAUCUGAUAACCAAGAAGUCUACUAAGUGACUAACAGGUGGGUAGCAUAUACAGCAUAGAUACACUGGACAAAGGGAGGACUCACAUCCUGGGCAAGAUGGAGCAGAAUGGCAGAGUUCAUCAUGCUGCUCAAAAUGAUGUGCAAUUUAAAACUAAUGAAUUAUUUCUGGAAUUUUUCAGUUAAUAUUUUUGGACAUGAGGUGACUGCAGUUAACUAAAACCAUGGAAAGCAAACCCAUAGAUAAAGGGAUACUAUGGUAUGUUUUCAUUUUCUAUAAUAAAAAGUUAAAAAGGAAAAAGACACCAUAGGAAAAUAAAAGACAAGUCACAAACUGGGAAAAGAUCUUUGCAACACAUGUGACUAUCGAAAGGAUUAGUAUUCACACUGUGUAAAGAACCACUACAAUUCAAUGAAAAUGAAGAUAAUGCUUUCCACCCCAAACAGGCAAUUCAUACAGGAGAAAACCUGAAAAGAUACCCAACCACAAGGAAAUACCAUUUCACACCCACCAGAUGAACAAAAAUGUAAAAGUCUGGCAAUAUUACAAUUCUUAUACAUUGCUGGUUGGAGUAUGAAUUGAUAUAAUCAAUUUGGGAAACAAUAUGGUAUUAUCUAGUAGCUGAAGAUGCACAUCUUCUGUGACCCAGGAAAAAUGUAUAGCAGGAGACAUGAGCAAGAAAAUUCAUAAUGGCAUUUAUAACAGUAAAACGUGGAAGAAAAUCCACUGUCCAUCAACAGUAGAGUGAUUAAAUACAUUGUAUAUGCUCAUACAGCAGAAUAUAGUGGUGGAAAAAAUAAAUUACAAGUUCAUGGACAUAGAUAAAUCUCUAACAAAAUGUUGAGCAAAUAAAAAUUCACAAAAGAAUUUUACAGUAGGAUUCCAUUUAUAUAAAGAACCAAUGAAAGUAAAUAGCCUAAGGGUACAAACAUAAGUAAAUCUAUAAAUUAAAGCAAAAGAAUGAUAAGCACAAAUUCAAGGCAGUGAUUUCCUCUAGCUACAGAGGGAAGGGAAUGAAGUAAGGAAAAGGUGAACAAGGAGCUUAAAAGUAUGAUAAUUAUAUGUGUUGGUUUGGCCAAACAGUCCUGGUUUACCUAGCACAGUUCUGGUUUGCUGAUUGCCUGGUGUAAUGAUUAAUAGCACUGUCACUCCCCAAAUUGUCAUUGUUUGGAUAAUGAAUUAUAUGCAUCCUUUUUAGAGUAAAAGUAACUUUUUUCUCCUUAAACUGGAUGGAGGGCAUGUGGGUCUUUAUCAUUCUUCCUUAUACAUGUAUUUUUAAAAUAUAAUUUAAAACUAGUCAGUAUUUUAAAAUAUAAUUUAAAACUUUAGUCAGUGUUAGUCACUGUGUUAGUGACAACACAGUAAAAAAAAAAAAUUUGUAAGAUAAAUAAAUAUAAAUAGGAUCCAAAUGAAACUCUUUUCAUCUGGGUGGAUACAGGGAUAAAUAACAUACUAUAUGCCUGGCAUUGUAUUAAGCUUGUUACUGAUAUUACUUCAUAUUCAUAGCAAGACAUUUAGGUAGGCAUUAUUAUCUCCAUUUUACACAUGAAGAAUCUAAGACACAAAGACUAUACAUAAUUUAACCAAAGUCAUAUUAUAUGUGACAGCGCAGAAUUUGAACCCAAGCAGUGUGACAUCAGACUACAUGCUCUUAACUACCAUGCCAGAGCCCAUAACAGAUUUUCUUAACCUUUUUUAUGCCACAGAUCCCUUUGACAGUCUGGUGAAGCCUAUAGAGUCCUUUUUAGAGUAAUGUCUUUUGUACAUCAAAUAUAAUGCACAGGAUUAUAAAUAAAAUCAAUUAUACUAAAAUAUGGUAAUCAAAAUAUUUAACAAAUGUAUACUAUACCUGUACUUUUUAUUAAUGCAUUAAAUAAAUAAUAAAAUCUAGCAGGUCUAAUGAAUAAUUUUGAAAUAAUAAUAAUAAUUGUAUCUUGAGAUAUCUACAAAUAUAGUAAUGUGAUAGGAAAAUGUUUGUGAUUUUGAUAAGUGAAAAAGUCACCAAAAUACUUGUAAUAACACUGUGGUUUUUUGCAUAUGUUCACAAUGGAAAGAAAUCCUAAAUCUUACUUCGAAGUUAGCAAGAAUUACAAUAUUUUUCCCACCCCAAUUCAUGGCCCUCUACUUUAUGGUCUUAUUUCAUAGGCUUUCUGACAUGUUUUGCUUCAAAGAGGUCCUAUUCCCCAUCCCAUUUCCUAUCUUCUGGUUUGGGAUUACACUCAAGAUGUGAUAUACAGAUAGAUUAGUUUAUUAGAAAGAAAAUAUUUUUCCACAUGGCGAACUUUAGUGGAGGCUAACAAAUCAGAAUGUGCUAAAAUAGCCAUGUGUACAUAUAGACAAUGGGAAGCUUGGAACUGCUUUAGCAUUUUAUACAAAAGACUUAAAAGUAAUUUCAGCUGGGCACUGUGGCUCGGGCCUGUAAUCCCAGCACUUUGGGAGGCUAAAGUGAGAGGAUUGCUUGAGGCCAGGAGUUCAAGACCAGCCUGGGCAACAUAGUGAGACCCUCCCCCCAUCUGUACAAAAAAAUUACAAAAUUAACCAGGCAUUGUGGCUCGCACCUGUGGUACCAGCUACUUGGAAGGCUGAGACAGGAGGAUGGCUUGAGCCUGGGAGGUUGAGGCUUUAAUGAGCCAUGAUCAUGCCACUGCACUCCAGCUUGGGCAACAGAGUGAGACCCUGUUUCCAAAAACAACAAAAACUGGUUUCAAAUAUAUUGCUACAUUGGAAUUCUCCAUAAAGGAAUUAAUUGUUGAUAACAAUGCCCUCAGUAUACUAUUUGUCAAUACCUAUAACAAUGCAACAAACAAAAAAGAAAAUUUAAAUAGCUGGACCACAUUAAAAGUUUUAUUGGGCUAAAAUCAAAAACAUCUGACAAGUUUUUGACUUGUCUUUCUCAUGAUUUAAUGUCCCAGCAGAGCAACUGGGAACCUAAUUCUGACCAAAAAGGAGGAAUUGUUUGGCUAAUUGGAAGUGACAGAAACCUUGGGAGAAAGCAACCGCAUACCAAGGAUAAUUAUAAGAAGAAGAGAAGACAUGGAGAAGAGGAGGGAGUAGUUGUGACCGUGGAGGCAGAGAAUGGAGUAAUGUGAUCAUAAAUCAAGGAAUGCUGACAGCCACUAAAGCUGGAGAAGGCCAAGGACAGAUAUUCAAUCCUCCCGUAGAAGUACAGCCCUGCUAAUGCAUUGAUUUUGGACUUCUGGCCUCAGAACUGUAAGAGAAUAAAUUUCUAUUGUUUUAAGCCUUCAGUUUGUGGUAGUUUGUUACAGAAACCCUGUAAAGUUAAUACACAGAGUUCAAAGAGAAUCCGGUAAUAUCUCUAAAAGACUCGUGUAUUAGUCAGGAUUCUCCAGAGAAGCAAAGCCAAUAGAAUGAUACAUGUUGUUAAAGCAAAUUAAAAUGGAGACCAUGCCUGAAGAAUCUCUGUGCAGAGAAACCCAGUUAGGCCUCAUAAGUUAACCUUACUUGAUUUGCAAACAUAAUCUAAAAGUUAACUGGAGCUAUUUCCGGUAAAUGAAUAUAACACAACUUAAGCUCAAUCAGUCAGAAGCAGCUUUAUAAUUAUGUAGCUAGGGACUUUCCAAGAGGAUGACCAAAGAAGGAAAUGAUAUAACUAUAACCAAAUAAAUAUUUUCUUUGCUUUCCUGUUCCUCCUAUAAAAGCCUCCCCACUGCUGAGCUGUGCUCAGCAGAGCUCCGAAACAACUUCUGGUUUAGAGUUGCCCGAUUUGUGAAUCACUGUUUGCUCAAAUAAACUCUUUAAAAUUUUAUUGUAUCUCAGGUUAUCUUUUUUAGAUAGAUAGAUGAUAUAUGAUAGAUAGAUAGAUAGAUAGAUAGAUAGAUAGAUAGAUAGAUAAUAGAUAGAUAGAUAGAUUAUUUAUUAUGGGAAUUGGCUCAAUCACAGAGACCCAAGAUCUGCCGUCUGCAAACUGGAGAACCAGGAAAGCCAGUGGUGUAAUCAAGUUCAAAGGGCUGAGAACCAGGAGAAUCAAUAACUUAAUACCCAAUGUAAUAAGGCCUGAGAAUGUGGGGUAGGGAUGCUAGUAUAAGUCCUAGAGUCUGACUACUGCAGAACCAGGAGUUCUGAUGUCCAAGGGUAGGAGAAGAUGGAGGUCCUAAAUCAAGAAUAAAGCAAAUUCACCUUUUCUUUGCCCUUUUUGUUCUAUUUGGGCAGGCCUCCAGUGAAUUGGAUGAUGCCCACCCACACUGGUAGAGCAGAUCUUUAGUCAGUCUUGAUUCAAAUGCUAAUUUCUUCACAGAGGCACACAGAAAUACUGUUUUAUCAUCUAUCUGGAUAGCCCUUAACACAGCCAAGUUGACACAUAAAAUUAACCAUCACAAUUAGGUUUUCCUGGGUUGGAAGGAAUGGGAGAUAAUGAAACGGGUGCUGGAGGGUAGAGGAGGUCUGAGGGACUUCUUGGCGGGACUAUGUGAACCAGAAUGGAAUGAGCAAAUUACAGACCCCACAGUCUCUGCUCUGACAGAGAUUGCCAGAGUUUGAAAUAGACCUGAUAGGGUUACUACAGGUUACCAGAACCGGGAAGUCAUGUGGCAGCCAAGCUAAUAUCCAAAGAUCACCCAAAGAGUAUUUCAUGUGAUCAGGAAGAGUCUCUGUUUAAUUGACAACUGCUUCCCACUUCCCAUCCCCUUCACGUGUAGCAGGAGUCACAGCUGUCUGUAUGCAGGUACUUUACUCGACCCUAUCCAAACUAUUAAUAGGAAAAAGUACUUUCUCAGUAGUCUAAGUAGUCACAAACCCUAAGAAAUACAGAAAAGAUUAUGGACAUCUACGGGAGUGCCAGUGAUAUAAAAUGAUAAUCCAUAUCACAUGGAAACCCUCCCACAUAAAUAAUCUUUAUUUGACUAGGACUUUAUUCAUUCAACUGAGAUUCUCCAACACCCCUGAUAACCAGCCAGGACCGUGCUGAUCCUAGGCAACAAUCUAAAAGGAAUAAUUAAAGGAUGCUCUGGGAGCAUCUAUAAGAGAAAGCAGUAAUCAAUCGAAUACAGCACGGGUUUAUCUAUAAUAAUUUCAGUCUAAUUUAAUUUUCUUUCUGAUAGUGUUACUAGGCUAGUCAACCAAUAAAAUGCAGUAGGUAAUAUUUUUCUGGGCCCAUGAGGUAUUACUGACUUUUUUUUUUUUAUCAUAUCCUUGUGAGUAAGUUGGAGGGGUUGGGGAGGCUAGAUGGUAGUACUGUCAGGGAAGGACUUAGCAUCCAAAGGGUACUGACUCCUAGAUGGCAGUCAGCCUCUCCAGAGGUUUUUAGUAUAGAAUUACAGUCCUCGGUCUUCUGUGUUUCAUUGACUUAAAAGAAAACAUAGAAUCCAUAUUUAUCAAAUUUUUACCUGAUUCAAAAUCAGGAAGGAUAGUAUUUUUUCCAAACUUUGGAACAGCUUGAUGUUGACUCUGGGCUAAAUUCUGUAUGGGCAUAAUUAGAAUCAAUAAAAUUUUGAGAGUCUAUAACAAUAUAGGCAGAGUCCAACAAACUAGUAGGAUUUUUAAGUUUAUUCACUCAUUUAGAUGUCACAAAUUUCUGGAAUAUCAACUCUGUGUAAAUGUCUAUGUUAGGCUUUAGAAUAUGAAUAAGGUAUGUUAGACUGCAGGAGUUUAAAAUCUGGUGAAUAAAACAAACUUGUAAACACAAAAUACAACAAAUAUUAAUUGUAAGGCAUUAUUUAGCAUUAUAUUUAGUAAAAAAAACUACAGUUAAUUGUAUGAUAUGCACAGGGACUGGCAUGUGUGAAACACCUUUAGACAUUUAAUAAGCUGGAAAAAAUAAUAUUUACCAUAAACAUAUACUACUGGUGCAAACAUAAAAUAGUAAUUUUGUGGAAAGUAAUUAUGUACAAGCCAUACUAUUUAAUGCAGCAAUUUCCUUCUAAGAAUCUACUUUAAAAAUAAUCUAAAAUAUAUUCAUGUUAUAUAUAUAUAAGGAAGUUCAUAAUCAAAUUAUUUAUAAUGGCAAAAAAGUUUAACAUGAAUGAUUAAAAAGAUAGUAUAGCCAUAUGAUAGUGUCAUAAUCAUAAACAGUUAUGUCUCUAAAAAACAGGUGUCUGAAAUAUUAUGUCACAUUCUAGAAUAGCAUGUUAUAGUCAACUAGAAGUCUGGGAAAAAAUGAUUUUUUUACUGUAAAACCUCUUGAAAGUUUUGAAUUUUGUGCCAUGUUGCGUGUAACACAUUCAAAAAAUAAACACAAUUUUAAAAUAAAGGAUUCAACUUAAAAUUUUAAAAA
RNAcentral lists this long non-coding RNA (18802 nucleotides) under Homo sapiens (human). Its description in RNAcentral is "non-protein coding TMEM161B-AS1:1". The record is from RNAcentral. Lineage: Eukaryota; Metazoa; Chordata; Mammalia; Primates; Hominidae.